RNAcentral lists this long non-coding RNA (210 nucleotides) under Ananas comosus (pineapple). RNAcentral describes it as "long non-coding RNA (ACOM_LNC034264)". The record is from RNAcentral. Lineage: Eukaryota; Viridiplantae; Streptophyta; Magnoliopsida; Poales; Bromeliaceae.
UCCUCUAAAAUAUGAGCCGAAGGAGCAUCUUCGGCUUGUUGAAAUUACCGUUUAGCAACUGAUUUAUGCCGUUUUGAAGACGGCGGAGGAGUAGUUUGUACAGUUUCAAUCGGUCUUUUGUCUGAAGCUGGGACCGAUGAAGAAGUGGGAAUAGACUGCCGAUGAAAGUGAAAGAAACGUAAGUAUUACAAACAUCAAAAUAGGAAGAAU